Non-coding RNA from Acanthosepion pharaonis, 106 nucleotides. The record is from the annotation of a GenBank genome assembly. NCBI's taxonomy places the organism in Eukaryota, Metazoa, Mollusca, Cephalopoda, Sepiida, Sepiidae.
UUACGACAAUAUCAUGUUGAAACGCCGAUUCUCGUAUGAUCACCAAAGUUAAGCAACGUCGAGACUGGUCAGUACUGAGAUGGGAAACCACUAGCGAUCACUAGGU